RNAcentral lists this ribosomal RNA (1251 nucleotides) under metagenome. RNAcentral describes it as "bacterial LSU rRNA". It matches the Rfam family "Bacterial large subunit ribosomal RNA", at positions 1634 to 2877 of the family's 2925-position model. The record is from RNAcentral.
UUAUACGACCGUACCGCAAACCGACACUGGUGCGCGAGAUGAGUAUUCUAAGGCGCUUGAGAGAACUCAGGAGAAGGAACUCGGCAAAUUGACACCGUAACUUCGGAAGAAGGUGUGCCCUAUUAGUGUGUAGUGAACAACGAAGCAUGAAUGGGUUGCAAAAAAUCGGUGGCUGCGACUGUUUAUUAAAAACACAGCACUCUGCAAACACGAAAGUGGACGUAUAGGGUGUGACGCCUGCCCGGUGCUGGAAGAUUAAAUGAUGGGGUGCAAGCUCUUGAUUGAAGUCCCAGUAAACGGCGGCCGUAACGAUAACGGUCCUAAGGUAGCGAAAUUCCUUGUCGGGUAAGUUCCGACCUGCACGAAUGGCGUAACGAUGGCCACACUGUCUCCUCCUGAGACUCAGCGAAGUUGAAAUGUUUGUGAUGAUGCAAUCUCCCCGCGGAAAGACGGAAAGACCCCAUGAACCUUUACUGUAGCUUUGUAUUGGACUUUGAACAGAUCUGUGUAGGAUAGGUGGGAGGCUUUGAAGCAGGGUCGCUAGAUCUUGUGGAGCCAACGUUGAAAUACCACCCUGGUGUGUUUGAGGUUCUAACCUAGGUCCAUUAUCUGGAUCGGGGACAGUGCAUGGUAGGCAGUUUGACUGGGGCGGUCUCCUCCCAAAGCGUAACGGAGGAGUUCGAAGGUACGCUAGUUACGGUCGGACAUCGUGACGAUAGUGCAAUGGCAUAAGCGUGCUUAACUGCGAGACUGACAAGUCGAGCAGAUGCGAAAGCAGGACAUAGUGAUCCGGUGGUUCUGUAUGGAAGGGCCAUCGCUCAACGGAUAAAAGGUACUCUGGGGAUAACAGGCUGAUACCGCCCAAGAGUUCAUAUCGACGGCGGUGUUUGGCACCUCGAUGUCGGCUCAUCUCAUCCUGGGGCUGUAGCCGGUCCCAAGGGUAUGGCUGUUCGCCAUUUAAAGAGGUACGUGAGCUGGGUUUAAAACGUCGUGAGACAGUUUGGUCCCUAUCUUCCGUGGGCGCUGCAGAUUUGAGGAAGCCUGCUCCUAGUACGAGAGGACCGGAGUGGACACACCUCUGGUGUAUCGGUUGUCACGCCAGUGGCAUUGCCGAGUAGCUAAGUGUGGAAGAGAUAACCGCUGAAAGCAUCUAAGCGGGAAACUCGUUUCAAGAUGAGAUCUGCCGGGGCCUUGAGCCCCCUAAAGAGUCGUUCAAGACCAGGACGUUGAUAGGUCAGGUGUGGAAGCUAA